AUAUCAAUAAGCGGAGGAAAAGAAACCAACCGGGAUUGCCCUAGUAACGGCGAGUGAAGCGGCAACAGCUCAAAUUUGAAAUCUGGCCUCUGGCUCGAAUUGUAAUUUGUAGAAGGUGCUUUGGGAGCGACGACGGUGCAAGUUUCCUGGAACGGAGCGUCACAGAGGGUGAGAAUCCCGUACGCCACCGAUUGUCAAUCCCGCGUAAAGCCCUUUCGACGAGUCGAGUUGUUUGGGAAUGCAGCUCUAAAUGGGUGGUAAAUUUCAUCUAAAGCUAAAUAUUCGCCAGAGACCGAUAGCGCACAAGUAGAGUGAUCGAAAGAUGAAAAGCACUUUGAAAAGAGAGUCAAAAAGUACGUGAAAUUGUUGAAAGGGAAGCGCUUGCAACCAGACUUGUCCGCGCGUGCUCAGCCUUCCUUUGGGAAUGGUGCACUCUCGUGCGGACAGGCCAGCAUCGGUUCCGGCGGCCGGAUAAAGGCCUUGGGCAUGUAGCUCCCUUCGGGGUGUGUUAUAGCCCGAGGUGAAAUGCGGCCUGCUGGGACCGAGGACCGCGCUUUUUGCUAGGAUGCUGGCGUAAUGGUUGUCAGCGACCCGUCUUGAAACACGGACCGAGGAGUCGACCAACCGCGCGAGUGUUUGGGUGUAAAGCCCACGACGCGCAAUGAAAGUGAACGCAGGUGGGAGCUUCGGCGCACCAUCGACCGAUCUUGAUGUCCUCGGAUGGAUUUGAGUAUGAGCGCGCUUGGUCGGACCCGAAAGUCAUGUGAUCUAUGCGUGAAUAGGGUGAAGCCAGAGGAAACUCUGGUGGAGGCUCGCAGCGGUUCUGACGUGCAAAUCGAUCGUCAAAUUUGCGCAUAGGGGCGAAAGACUAAUCGAACUGACUAGUAGCUGGUUCCUGUCGAAGUUUCCCU
This 911-nucleotide ribosomal RNA is filed under the name Graphis pavoniana. Its description in RNAcentral is "eukaryotic LSU rRNA". It matches the Rfam family "Eukaryotic large subunit ribosomal RNA", at positions 40 to 973 of the family's 3401-position model. Lineage: Eukaryota; Fungi; Ascomycota; Lecanoromycetes; Ostropales; Graphidaceae. The record is from RNAcentral.